Molecule: small nuclear RNA, 131 nt
Organism: Pteropus vampyrus (large flying fox)
Lineage: Eukaryota; Metazoa; Chordata; Mammalia; Chiroptera; Pteropodidae
Gene: U4
Rfam family: U4 spliceosomal RNA
About the family: U4 small nuclear RNA (U4 snRNA) is a component of the major U2-dependent spliceosome. The structure of U4 snRNA from yeast and human has been reported.
Source: Ensembl
AGUUUUGCACAGUAACAGUAUCAUAGCCAAUGAGGUUUAUCCAAGGCGCGAUUGUUGCUAAUUAAAAACUUUCUGGGACUUGUGAACCAAAAUGGCAUAGAUGAUAGAGUCUCUGUUCGUCUCUCUGGUGA